This 454-nucleotide ribosomal RNA is filed under the name Chamaeleo dilepis quilensis (Bocage's chameleon). RNAcentral's name for it is "partial 16S ribosomal RNA". It matches the Rfam family "Bacterial large subunit ribosomal RNA", at positions 1923 to 2603 of the family's 2925-position model. The record is from RNAcentral. Lineage: Eukaryota; Metazoa; Chordata; Lepidosauria; Squamata; Chamaeleonidae.
CUAAACGGCCGCGGUACAAAACCGUGCAAAGGUAGCACAAUCACUUGUCCCUUAAAUGAGGACCCGUAUGAAAGGCAACAUGAGAGAAAACCUGUCUCCUGAGGUCAGCCAAUGAAAUUGAUCUAUCAGUACAAAAGCUGAUAUAAUAAAGCAAGACAAAAAGACCCUAUGGAACUUUUAACGAAUUACUUACACAAAUAAGCAAUAGUUUCAGUUGGGACAACUUUAGAAAAAAUAAACCUCUAACAUAUCACCUUGACCAACAAGUCUCCAAUAUACUACAAGACCCAGUAACACUGACAAACGAAACAAGCUACCCUAGGGAUAACAGCGCUACCUUCUCAAAGAGUCCAUAUCAACAAGAAGAUCUACGACCUCGAUGUUGGAUCAGGGUACCCAGACGGUGCAGCAGCUGUCAAUGGUUCGUUUGUUCAACGACUAACACCCUACGUGA